Molecule: ribosomal RNA, 459 nt
Filed under: uncultured bacterium
Lineage: Bacteria
Description: partial 16S ribosomal RNA
Rfam family: Bacterial small subunit ribosomal RNA
Source: RNAcentral
CCUACGGGAGGCAGCAGUGAGGAAUAUUGGUCAAUGGUCGGGAGACUGAACCAGCCAAGCCGCGUGAGGGAGGAAGGUACUGCGUAUUGUAAACCUCUUUUGUCAGGGAACAAAGGCGGGGACGUGUCGCCGGAAGGGUGUACCUGAAGAAAAAGCCUCGGCUAACUCCGUGACAGCAGCCGCGGUAAAACGGAGGAUGCGAGGGUUAACCGGAUUUAGUGGGUUUAAAGGGUGCGCAGGCGGACGGUUAAGUCAGCGGUCAAAGGGCGGGGCUCAACCCCGGCCCGCCGUUGAAACUGGCAGUCUCGAGUGGGAGAGAAGUAUGCGGAAUGCGCGGUGUAGCGGUGAAAUGCAUAGAUAUCGCGCAGAACUCCGAUUGCGAAGGCAGCAUACCGGCGCCACACUGACGCUGAGGCACGAAAGCGUGGGUAUCGAACAGGAUUAGAUACCCAGGUAGUC